GAUGAACGCUGGCGGCAUGCCUAAUACAUGCAAGUCGAACGAAGGAUCCCUUCGGGGGUCUUUAGUGGCGAACGGGUGAGUAAGACGUAAGGAACCUGCCCCUAUGCCUGGGAUAACUCUGGGAAACGAGAGCUAAUACCGGAUAGGUGAACGGAAGACAUCUUCGGUUCAUGAAAGAUGGGGAACAUCACAGAGGGAUGGCCUUACGGCGCAUUAGCUAGUUGGAGAGGUAGAGGCUCACCAAGGCGAUGAUGCGUAGCCGGCCUGAGAGGGUGAACGGCCACAUUGGGACUGAGACACGGCCCAGACUCCUACGGGAGGCAGCAGUAGGGAAUUUUCGGCAAUGGGCGAAAGCCUGACCGAGCAAUGCCGCGUGAGUGAAGAAGGCCUUCGGGUUGUAAAGCUCUGUUGUAAAGGAAGAACGGAUGGCAUAGGGAAUGAUGCCAUUGUGACGGUACUUUACGAGGAAGUCACGGCUAACUACGUGCCAGCAGCCGCGGUAAUACGUAGGUGGCGAGCGUUAUCCGGAAUUAUUGGGCGUAAAGGGUGCGCAGGCGGCAAGAAAAGCUUAAGGUGAAAGCGUGGGGCUCAACCCCAUAAAGCCUUAGGAACUAGCUUGCUAGAGUGCAGGAGAGGGCGAUGGAAUUCCAUGUGUAGCGGUAAAAUGCGUAGAUAUAUGGAGGAACACCAGUGGCGAAGGCGGUCGCCUGGCCUGUAACUGACGCUGAGGCACGAAAGCGUGGGGAGCAAAUAGGAUUAGAUACCCUAGUAGUCCACGCUGUAAACGAUGGAUACUAAGUGUUGGGGAAACUCAGUGCUGCAGUUAACGCAAUAAGUAUCCCGCCUGGGGAGUAUGCACGCAAGUGUGAAACUCAAAGGAAUUGACGGGGGCCCGCACAAGCGGUGGAGUAUGUGGUUUAAUUCGACGCAACGCGAAAAACCUUACCAGGCCUUGACAUCCCUUGCGAAGCUUUAGAGAUAGAGUGGAGGAUAUCAAGGAGACAGGUGGUGCAUGGUUGUCGUCAGCUCGUGUCGUGAGAUGUUGGGUUAAGUCCCGCAACGAGCGCAACCCUUGUCUUUAGUUACCAUCAAGUAAAGUUGGGGACUCUAAAGAGACUGCCGGUGAUAAACCGGAGGAAGGUGGGGAUGACGUCAAAUCAUCAUGCCCCUUAUGGCCUGGGCUACACACGUACUACAAUGGCGCAUACAGACGGAAGCGAAGGAGCGAUCUGAAGCAAAACCGAGAAAGUGCGUCACAGUUCGGAUUGAAGUCUGCAACUCGACUUCAUGAAGCCGGAAUCGCUAGUAAUCGCAGAUCAGCAUGCUGCGGUGAAUACGUUCUCGGGCCUUGUACACACCGCCCGUCAAACCAUGAGAGUUGGCAAUACCCGAAGCCGGUGGCCUAACCUAGCAAUAGGAGGGAGCCGUCGAAGGUAGGGCUGAUGAUUGGGGUUAAGUCGUAACAAGGUAUCCCUACGAGAACGUGGGGAUGGAUCACCUCCUUUCUAAGGAGAAAGAAGAAGAGAGUGAGGAGUUUCUGUUUAGUUUUGAGAGGUCAAGGGACCUUUCGAAGGUGGAAUCGUUCUUUGAAAACCGAAUAACAGAAGAAAGACAGAAAGGUGUCUUUCUGGAAAGUUGAAAACUAGAUUUCAAAGGAAACAAGUUGAAAGACAGUUCAAGAGUAAGCGAAAACAGAAAGCAGAUUAAAAGAAGAAGGGCGUACGGUGGAUGCCUAGGCAUUGAGAGCGAGAAGAAGGACGCAGCAAACGGCGAAACGCUUCGGGGAGUGGUAAGCACACAACGAUCCGGAGGUCUCCGAAUGGGGAAACCCGUCACCUGUAAUGGGGUGACACACAUAAAUGAAUUCAUAGUUUAUGAUGAGGCAACGUAGGGAAUUGAAACAUCUUAGUACCUACAGGAGAAGAAAAUAAGAAUGAUUCCCUGAGUAGUGGCGAGCGAAAAGGGAGGAGCCCAAACCGGCUAAGAGCCGGGGUUGAAGGACCGCAAGAAGCGAAGAAGGACGAUAGACGAAUGGCAUUGAAAGGCCAGCCAAAGGAGGUGCAAGCCCUGUAGUCGAAAUCGAAGAGAUAGCGAGCGAGAUCCUGAGUACGGCGAGGCACGUGGAACCUUGUCGGAAGCAGCCAGGACCAUCUGGCAAGGCUAAAUACUCCUCAAUGACCGAUAGUGAACC
RNAcentral lists this ribosomal RNA (2191 nucleotides) under uncultured Holdemania sp. Its description in RNAcentral is "partial contains 16S ribosomal RNA, 16S-23S ribosomal RNA intergenic spacer, and 23S ribosomal RNA". The stretch from base 1 to 1505 matches the Rfam family "Bacterial small subunit ribosomal RNA". Lineage: Bacteria; Bacillati; Bacillota; Erysipelotrichia; Erysipelotrichales; Erysipelotrichaceae. The record is from RNAcentral.